GAGUUUGAUCGUGGCUCAGAUUGAACGCUGGCGGCAUGCCUUACACAUGCAAGUCGAACGGCAGCACGGGUGCUUGCACCUGGUGGCGAGUGGCGAACGGGUGAGUAAUGCAUCGGAACGUACCCGGGAAGUGGGGGAUAACGUAGCGAAAGUUACGCUAAUACCGCAUGUUCUGUGAGCAGGAAAGAGGGGGAGUCGCAAGACCUCUCGCUUUCGGAGCGGCCGAUGUCGGAUUAGCUAGUUGGCGGGGUAAGGCCCACCAAGGCAACGAUCCGUAGCGGGUCUGAGAGGAUGAUCCGCCACACUGGGACUGAGACACGGCCCAGACUCCUACGGGAGGCAGCAGUGGGGAAUUUUGGACAAUGGCGCAAGCCUGAUCCAGCCAUGCCGCGUGAGUGAAGAAGGCCUCGGU
Molecule: ribosomal RNA, 412 nt
Filed under: uncultured beta proteobacterium
Lineage: Bacteria; Pseudomonadati; Pseudomonadota; Betaproteobacteria
Description: bacterial SSU rRNA
Rfam family: Bacterial small subunit ribosomal RNA
Source: RNAcentral